RNAcentral lists this ribosomal RNA (450 nucleotides) under uncultured bacterium. Its description in RNAcentral is "partial 16S ribosomal RNA". It matches the Rfam family "Bacterial small subunit ribosomal RNA", at positions 354 to 796 of the family's 1533-position model. The record is from RNAcentral.
GUGAGGAAUAUUGGGCAAUGGGCGAAAGCCUGACCCAGCCACGCCGCGUGAGUGAUGAAGGCCUUCGGGUUGUAAAGCUCUGUGGGGAGGGAAGAAAAAGCGCAGGAGUAACUGCCUGUGUGUUGACGGUACUUCCUUAGCAAGCACCGGCUAACUCUGUGCCAGCAGCCGCGGUAAUACAGAGGGUGCAAACGUUGCUCGGAAUUACUGGGCGUAAAGCGCGUGUAGGCUGACAUGCAAGUCGGGUGUGAAAUCCCAGGGCUCAACCUUGGAACUGCACUCGAAACUGCACGUCUUGAGUACUGGAGAGGGAAGCGGAAUUCCGGGUGUAGAGGUGAAAUUCGUAGAUAUCCGGAGGAACACCAGUGGCGAAGGCGGCUUCCUGGACAGUAACUGACGCUGAGACGCGAAAGCGUGGGGAGCAAACAGGAUUAGAAACCCGUGUAGUCC